RNAcentral lists this ribosomal RNA (467 nucleotides) under uncultured bacterium. RNAcentral describes it as "partial 16S ribosomal RNA". It matches the Rfam family "Bacterial small subunit ribosomal RNA", at positions 28 to 507 of the family's 1533-position model. The record is from RNAcentral.
GACGAACGCUGGCGGUGUGCUUAACACAUGCGAGUCGAACGGAAAGGCCUCUUUCGGGGGGUACUCGAGUGGCGAACGGGUGAGUAACACGUGAGUAACCUGCCCUUGACUUUGGGAUAACUUCAGGAAACUGGGGCUAAUACCGGAUAGGAGCUCCUGCUGCAUGGUGGGGGUUGGAAAGUUUCGGCGGUUGGGGAUGGACUCGCGGCUUAUCAGCUUGUUGGUGGGGUAGUGGCUUACCAAGGCUUUGACGGGUAGCCGGCCUGAGAGGGUGACCGGCCACAUUGGGACUGAGAUACGGCCCAGACUCCUACGGGAGGCAGCAGUGGGGAAUAUUGCACAAUGGGUGGAAGCCUGAUGCAGCAACGCCGUGUGCGGGAUGACGGCCUUCGGGUUGUAAACCGCUUUCGCUCAUGACGAAGCUUUGUGUGACGGUAGUGGGUAAAGAAGCACCGGCUAACUACGUG